Molecule: ribosomal RNA, 492 nt
Filed under: uncultured bacterium
Lineage: Bacteria
Description: bacterial SSU rRNA
Rfam family: Bacterial small subunit ribosomal RNA
Source: RNAcentral
AUUGAACGCUGGCGGCAUGCCUAACACAUGCAAGUCGAACGGCAGCACAGCAGUAGCAAUACUGUGGGUGGCGAGUGGCGGACGGGUGAGGAAUACGUCGGAAUCUGCCCAGUCGUGGGGGAUAACUAGCCGAAAGGUUAGCUAAUACCGCAUACGACCGAGAGGUGAAAGCGGGGGGACCGCAAGGCCUCGCGCGAUUGGAUGAGCCGACGUCGGAUUAGCUAGUUGGCGGGGUAAAGGCCCACCAAGGCGACGAUCCGUAGCUGGUCUGAGAGGAUGAUCAGCCACACUGGAACUGAGACACGGUCCAGACUCCUACGGGAGGCAGCAGUGGGGAAUAUUGGACAAUGGGCGCAAGCCUGAUCCAGCAAUGCCGCGUGUGUGAAGAAGGCCUGGUGUAAGCACUUUAUCUAGGAACGAAAAGACGUUGGAUUAAUACUCUGACGUGCUGACGGUACCUGAGGAAUAAGCACCGGCGUAACUUCGUGCCAG